RNAcentral lists this ribosomal RNA (578 nucleotides) under uncultured bacterium. RNAcentral describes it as "bacterial SSU rRNA". It matches the Rfam family "Bacterial small subunit ribosomal RNA", at positions 338 to 916 of the family's 1533-position model. The record is from RNAcentral.
CCUACGGGAGGCAGCAGUGAGGAAUAUUGGGCAAUGGAGGAAACUCUGACCCAGCCAUGCCGCGUGCAGGAAGACGGCCCUCUGGGUUGUAAACUGCUUUUAUAUGGGAAUAAACCCUUCCACGUGUGGAAGGCUGAAGGUACCAUACGAAUAAGGAUCGGCUAACUCCGUGCCAGCAGCCGCGGUAAUACGGAGGAUCCAAGCGUUAUCCGGAUUUAUUGGGUUUAAAGGGUCCGUAGGCGGGUCUUUAAGUCAGUGGUGAAAGCCUGCAGCUUAACUGUAGAAUUGCCAUUGAUACUGAAGACCUUGAGUGUAGUAGAAGUAGGCGGAAUAUGGCAUGUAGCGGUGAAAUGCAUAGAUAUGCCAUAGAACACCGAUUGCGAAGGCAGCUUACUAUGUUACAACUGACGCUGAGGGACGAAAGCGUGGGUAGCAAACAGGAUUAGAUACCCUGGUAGUCCACGCCGUAAACGAUGAUUACUCGCUGUUAGCGAUAUACAGUUAGCGGCCAAGCGAAAGCAUUAAGUAAUCCACCUGGGGAGUACGCCGGCAACGGUGAAACUCAAAGGAAUUGACGG